CCUACGGGUGGCUGCAGUAGGGAAUAUUGGGCAAUGGACGAAAGUCUGACCCAGCCAUGCCGCGUGCAGGAUGACUGCCCUAUGGGUUGUAAACUGCUUUUCUAUGGGAAGAAACACUCAUACGUGUAUGAACUUGACGGUACCAUAGGAAUAAGGAUCGGCUAACUCCGUGCCAGCAGCCGCGGUAAUACGGAGGAUCCAGGAGUUGUCCGGAUUCAUUGGGUUUAAGGGGUACGACUAAGUACGACUAGAAAGCUUGCGGCUCAACCGUAAAAGUGCCUUUGAAACUGGUAGUCUUGAGUUCGGUCGAGGUGGAUGGAAUGUGUCAUGUAGCGGUGAAAUGCUUAGAUAUGACCCAGAACACCAAUUGCGAAGGCAGUUCACUAGACCGAUACUGACGCUGAGGCACGAAAGCGUGGGGAGCGAACAGGAUUAGAUACCCGAGUAGUC
RNAcentral lists this ribosomal RNA (450 nucleotides) under uncultured bacterium. RNAcentral describes it as "partial 16S ribosomal RNA". It matches the Rfam family "Bacterial small subunit ribosomal RNA", at positions 338 to 795 of the family's 1533-position model. The record is from RNAcentral.